Molecule: long non-coding RNA, 205 nt
Organism: Polyodon spathula (Mississippi paddlefish)
Lineage: Eukaryota; Metazoa; Chordata; Actinopteri; Acipenseriformes; Polyodontidae
Exons: 3
Source: RefSeq, a predicted model, not a curated record
GAACUGGAAGAUAAGAUAGAAAGCCAGAAAAGACACAUUAAGGAAAUAGAAGAAAAGCUUUUAUUCUAUGGCCAUGAAGACAUCAAAACCUCUAGAGAACAGGUUCUAAAAAGACCUAGAGGAGCAUGAAAAUGAGCUGAAUGUACAAUAUGGAAAGCAUGUUCAAGUACGACAAGAAGCAGUCAAUUGGAAAGUAAACAGAGAA